ACGGGAGGCGGCAGUGAGGAAUAUUGGUCAAUGGUCGGAAGACUGAACCAGCCAUGCCGCGUGAAGGAUUAAGGCCCUAUGGGUCGUAAACUUCUUUUGUACGGGAGCAAUAAGGUUUACGAGUAGACCGAUGAGAGUACCGUACGAAUAAGCAUCGGCUAACUCCGUGCCAGCAGCCGCGGUAAUACGGAGGAUGCAAGCGUUAUCCGGAUUUAUUGGGUUUAAAGGGUGCGUAGGCGGUUUGGUAAGUCAGCGGUGAAAUGUCCACGCUUAACGUGGAACGUGCCGUUGAUACUGCCGGACUUGAAUUUGGUUGCCGUGGGAGGAAUGUGUAGUGUAGCGGUGAAAUGCUUAGAUAUUACACAGAACACCGAUUGCGAAGGCAUCUCACGAAGCCGACAUUGACGCUGAGGCACGAAAGUGUGGGGAUCAAACAGGAUUAGAUACCCUGGUA
Molecule: ribosomal RNA, 454 nt
Filed under: uncultured bacterium
Lineage: Bacteria
Description: partial 16S ribosomal RNA
Rfam family: Bacterial small subunit ribosomal RNA
Source: RNAcentral